CGUGACGCCGUGCAACUAGUGACAACAGUUUGAGUGCAAUUAACGCCUCUUUCGCGCGGCACGGAAAUGACUAAUUUCCAAAAAAAAAUGAAAAGAAAAAAACAAACAUCAAAAACAAACUAAAAUAAUGUUAAUUCGAAUUGGUAACUGAUCGGCAAUAUAAUUUGAGCCGUGUCAAAUUACUUUCAAAAUUGACUAAAGUUAACAAAUUAUUAACCGAAAAACGAAAAACGAAAAAAAAAAAAAAAACACCAGCACAGGAAAUUGCAAUUAACUUAAAUUAAAAGCGCCGAAAACGCGCGCGACUUUAAACGCGAUCAAUGCGGGCGCGCGUCGCCCACAGUGGUGCGUGCGUGUGGUGCUGCGCUCGGUGGUGUCAUCUUCCCUGUUCUACUUACUCGACCGAUGACAAACAUGAUUUGUAGCAACCGUUUUGGGUGCGGUCAAACUUAAUUGAAUUAGCUCGGCGAUCUUCCGUUCUUCUGGAACAUGCACUUAUACGGAAGGGGGCAAAUGCAUGGCACGAAAUACCAGAGUGAGAGAGGGGACAUGCAAGUAACUCCGAACCACAAGAUAUUCCCUUUAAUUUUGAUGUCCAACUAAUUUGCAUUCGAAUUUCCAAUAUAUACGGCAGUCCAUAAAGGGCUAUUGAACCACUUUGCAAGAACUAACUCAUGUAUGCACGGCUUAUCAGAAAGCAACUAGCCGGAUGCAUAAUCAUGAAUGUAAUCCAAAAAAAACAAAACAAAAGCAAAUAGAAAACUUCACAAUGAGAUUUAUGUUUAUGUAAGUAGAAUGCGUUGAACGAGUACACCUCAUAUCUCAUAUUUAUCAACUAAAUAAAGUUGGCAGAAUAGCUUAGUAUUUCAA
Non-coding RNA from Drosophila virilis, 870 nucleotides. Lineage: Eukaryota; Metazoa; Arthropoda; Insecta; Diptera; Drosophilidae. The record is from RefSeq and is a predicted model, not a curated record.